RNAcentral lists this ribosomal RNA (155 nucleotides) under Ranunculus amurensis. Its description in RNAcentral is "5.8S ribosomal RNA". It matches the Rfam family "5.8S ribosomal RNA". From Rfam's summary of the family: 5.8S ribosomal RNA (5.8S rRNA) is a component of the large subunit of the eukaryotic ribosome. It is transcribed by RNA polymerase I as part of the 45S precursor that also contains 18S and 28S rRNA. The record is from RNAcentral. Lineage: Eukaryota; Viridiplantae; Streptophyta; Magnoliopsida; Ranunculales; Ranunculaceae.
AACGACUCUCGGCAACGGAUAUCUCGGCUCUUGCAUCGAUGAAGAACGUAGCGAAAUGCGAUACUUGGUGUGAAUUGCAGAAUCCCGUGAACCAUCGAGUUUUUGAACGCAAGUUGCGCCCGAUACCUUUAGGUUGAGGGCACGUCUGCCUGGGC